Triticum aestivum (bread wheat) is the source of this 135-nucleotide non-coding RNA. The record is from Rfam. Lineage: Eukaryota; Viridiplantae; Streptophyta; Magnoliopsida; Poales; Poaceae.
CUUGUACUCCUUCUGUCCGAAAAUACUUAUCAUCAAAAUGGAUAAAAGGUGAUGUAUCUCAAAUUAAAAUACGCCUAGAUACAUCCUCUUUUAUCCAUUUUGAUGACAAGUAUUUCCGGACGGAUGGAGUACUUU